This 866-nucleotide ribosomal RNA is filed under the name uncultured archaeon. RNAcentral's name for it is "bacterial SSU rRNA". It matches the Rfam family "Archaeal small subunit ribosomal RNA", at positions 1 to 872 of the family's 1478-position model. The record is from RNAcentral.
UUUCCGGUUGAUCCUGCCGGACCUGACUGCUAUCGGAUUGAUACUAAGCCAUGCGAGUCAUUGUAGCAAUACAAGGCAGACGGCUCAGUAACGCGUAGUCAAUCUACCCUAUGGACGGGGAUAACCUCGGGAAACUGAGAAUAAUACCCGACAGAACAUUAUGCCUGGAAUGGUUUAUGUUUUAAAUGAUUUAUCGCCGUAGGAUGGGACUGCGGCCUAUCAGUUUGUUGGUGAGGUAAUGGCCCACCAAGACUAUUACAGGUACGGGCUCUGAGAGGAGUGGCCCGGAGAUGGGUACUGAGACACGGACCCAGGCCCUAUGGGGCGCAGCAGGCGAGAAAACUUUGCAAUAUGCGAAAGCACGACAAGGUUAAUCCGAGUGGUUUCUGCUAAAGAAACCUUUUGUUAGUCCUAGAAACACUGACGAAUAAGGGGUGGGCAAGUUCUGGUGUCAGCCGCCGCGGUAAAACCAGCACCUCAAGUGGUCAGGAUGAUUAUUGGGGCCUAAAGCAUCCGUAGCUUGCUUUGUAAGUUCUCGGUUAAAUCCAUGCGCUUAACGUAUGGGCUGCCGGUAAUACUGCAAAGCUAGGGAGUGGGAGAGGUAGACGGUACUCGGUAGGAAGGGGUAAAAUCCUUUGAUCUAUUGAUGACCACCUGUGGCGAAGGCGGUCUACCAGAACACGUCCGACGGUGAGGGAUGAAAGCUGGGGGAGCAAACCGGAUUAGAUACCCGGGUAGUCCCAGCUGUAAACUAUGCAAACUCAGUGAUGCAUUGGCUUGUGGCCAAUGCAGUGCUGCAGGGAAGCCGUUAAGUUUGCCGCCUGGGAAGUACGUACGCAAGUAUGAAACUUAAAGGAAUUGGCGGG